GGGGCCGAUUAGGAUUCGACGCCGGUAACAAAACUCGAGGGGCAUGCCGAGUUGGUAACAGAACUCGUAAAUAAACUGUUGCAAAAAUCCAUAAUUGCCAAUGAUGACAAUUACGGUGCUCAACUAGCUGCGUAAGCAGCCUAGUCGCACUUCUGGUAGCUUCGGCUCCAGCAAUCAUUAGGGGAUGUCUGUAAACCCGAAAUGAUUGUCAUGCAGAACAGAAUCGCCGCGUAGUACGUUGUGGACGAAACGGCUAAACAUUACACAACUCGCCCAAAGCACCCUGCCCGUCGGGCGGCCAAGGGUUAACUCAGUAGACACGGCUAAGCAUGUAGAACCAACAGCGGAGUACUGGCGGACGGGGGUUCAAAUCCCCCCGGCUCCACCA
RNAcentral lists this transfer-messenger RNA (388 nucleotides) under Pseudomonadaceae. Its description in RNAcentral is "Pseudomonas_E taeanensis Standard tmRNA". It matches the Rfam family "transfer-messenger RNA". From Rfam's summary of the family: Bacterial tmRNA, also known as 10Sa RNA or SsrA, is named for its dual tRNA and mRNA-like properties. Its role is to liberate the mRNA from a stalled ribosome. Lineage: Bacteria; Pseudomonadati; Pseudomonadota; Gammaproteobacteria; Pseudomonadales. RNAcentral also lists the same sequence under 2 other names. The record is from RNAcentral.